CUGCUCACCACUAGGCAAUGAGUUACAGUCAUGUGUGGCGUGGUAGAUCUUGUUUCUGGGGGCACUACUUGUUUUGGUCUCUUUGUCUGUCACGACAGGAUCUGAUUACAUUGUUACGCGUGUUUGGUCAUAACGUGACCAUCUCCCUCAACAUAUCCCAGGCUGGACAAGAGUUUAAAGUCGGCGUGGAAGUUAAUAAUGAUACAGGAUAUCUCUUUCUUUAAAACUGACACUGAGCUUUACAAUCGUGAAAACCAGCCAUACAUGGUACGGAGCCAGAGAUCCCAGUGAACAUCACCCCAUCAGAGUUCAGGUUUACACUGUAUAAAGUCACUACAGAGGACGCAGGGGCUCUACGAAUGUCUGCCGUUUGACGCAUACAAGGGGGGAUACCUGGCUGUGAACAGCUUCUCGUUGUGGCACAGAAACCUUCAACCCCGAACAUCACUGGACCUACAUCAGCUGUCUCAGGUGGGCGUGUCACCCUGACAUGCUCCUCCUCCUCCCGGAGUCUCCCCCCGGACCACCCUCUGACCAUGACCUACAUCUGGAGGAGGAACAGUGAGAAGA
This is a long non-coding RNA of Haliotis rubra (blacklip abalone), 570 nucleotides long. RefSeq lists it as uncharacterized. The record is from RefSeq and is a predicted model, not a curated record. The transcript is spliced from 3 exons. Lineage: Eukaryota; Metazoa; Mollusca; Gastropoda; Lepetellida; Haliotidae.